UUUACAACUACAUUAAUAAAGUGAAGAUUGACCAGAGAUUUAGGCCAUUGACUCUUUGACCAAGGGUAAUUGACCUGCUUGCUCGUGGGCUUGUAAAGGAGCCUAUCACAUGACACGUACGAGCCCAUGACAUGACACGUAAGUUCAUGUUGAGAUUUUAAAAUGGGCCCACAAAAUCUGAUUGUAGAUAAACAAACAUGAUCCACGGCCCAUCACAUGCAUAGCUCUCUCUUUAUUGUCUUUACAAAUAUUAACUUUUCUUUUGUUUCCCAUGAGUUGACUAUAAAUCCAUUACAUUUCCUUCAUUCAUUUUCUGGAAAAUGGAUCCAAUAUAAGAUCCAAAUUAUACAAUAAGAUUGAUGCUUUUGGUUUUUAAUAGUCACAUUUUCAAUGGCAUGCACCAAAUACAUAAGAACACAAAUUUAGGGCACUUUUGGUAUCGAAUUAAAAACUCGUUAUAGAAAUGUUUUCUAAAAAACAUUUGCUUUUUCAAAAGUAUUAUGCGGUGAAUAUGUUAACGGGUCUUUUAAAGUUAAGAAGGGUUUUCUUUCUACGAUGGUAAUACGUGGCAGCUAGGUAGGGGUGUUGUCUAAAGUUUUAAAAGGAGGUCUAAUAAAAUUUGAGACAUAAAUUUAGUUAAAAUCAAUUUAAAGCUAAGCUUUGUGAGGUCACAUC
Molecule: long non-coding RNA, 675 nt
Filed under: Prunus dulcis (almond)
Lineage: Eukaryota; Viridiplantae; Streptophyta; Magnoliopsida; Rosales; Rosaceae
Description: sRNA ncRNA
Source: RNAcentral